Molecule: ribosomal RNA, 409 nt
Filed under: uncultured fungus
Lineage: Eukaryota; Fungi
Description: eukaryotic LSU rRNA
Rfam family: 5.8S ribosomal RNA (bases 1-71)
Source: RNAcentral
GUGAGUCAUCGAGUCUUUGAACGCACCUUGCACCCUUUGGUAUUCCGAAGGGUAUGCCUGUUUGAGUGUCAUUAAUAUUCUCAACCGUUGGCUUGGGUUUGUCCCUUGCUGAUUGGCUUGGAUUUGAGGGUGUUGUGUCGGUCCACUUGAACCACUUUGCUGGUUGAAGACGGUCGACUCCCUUUAAAAGCAUUAGUGGGUUAGAUCUAGUUGUGGAUAUGCCUCGAUUUGAUAACUAUCAUAAUGUCGUUGCGAUGAAACAAUGAGAACCUGCUUCCAACUGUCCUUGACAAGGACUGCUCCAGUUUGGAGUAUUAGAGUCGUUGCCUCUGGCUUGACUUGUAAACAAAUAUUUGACCUCAAAUCAGUAGGACUACCGCUGAACUUAAGCAUAUCAAUAAGCCGGAGG